Balaenoptera musculus (blue whale) is the source of this 1107-nucleotide RNA transcript. It is a transcript of the gene named NSE2 (MMS21) homolog, SMC5-SMC6 complex SUMO ligase, with no coding region annotated. Lineage: Eukaryota; Metazoa; Chordata; Mammalia; Artiodactyla; Balaenopteridae. The transcript is spliced from 8 exons. The record is from RefSeq and is a predicted model, not a curated record.
CCCGCGCUCGCCGUUUCAGCGACAGGAUUAGGGAGUUAAGGAAGCAGUUGGGGGUCUUGGUGUGGGGAGUCCAGGCGCAGCCAAACGGAGCUACAUCGGGCAGCCAGGUAAUAAUUUCAAGAUGCCAGGGCGUUCCACUUCAAGUUCAGGUUCAACUGGUUUUAUAUCCUUCAGUGGUGUAGAAUCUGCACUCUCCUCCUUGAAAAACUUCCAGUCCUGCAUCAGCUCUGGAAUGGACACAGCUUCUACUGUUGCUUUGAAUCUUGUGGAAACUCAGACUGAAGUGAGUAGUGAAUACAGUAUGGAUAAGGCAAUGGUUGAAUUUGCAAUGAUGGAUCGGGAACUAAACCAUUAUUUAAAGGCUGUUCAAUCUACAAUAAAACAUGUAAGAGAAGAACGUCCAGAAAAAAUACCCGAUCUAAAAUUAUUAGUGGAGAAGAAGUUUUUGGCUUUACAGAAUAAGAAUUCUGAUGCAGACUUUCAAAAUAAUGAGAAAUUUGCACAAUUUAAACAACAGCUGAAAGAACUAAAGAAGCAAUAUGGUCUUCAAGCAGACAGAGAGGCUGACGGCACGGAAGGAGUUGAUGAAGAUAUGAUUGUGACCCAAAGUCAGACCAACUUCAUCUGCCCCAUUACACAGUUGGAAAUGAAGAAGCCAGUGAAAAAUAAAGUGUGUGGCCACACCUAUGAAGAAGAAGCCAUUGUUCGCAUGAUUGAGUCCAAGCACAAGCGGAAGAAAAAGGCCUGUUGCCCGAAAAUUGGCUGUAGCCACACAGACGUGAGAAUGUCUGAUCUCAUCCAGGAUGAGGUGCUGAGAAGGGCGAUUGAGAGUCACAACAAGAAAAAACAUCGUCAGUCCAACUAGGAAGAGCCCCCUGCCUGCAGGGAGCUCCACAGCCUACCUCCUACCCCAGCCAUCUGUAGAGAGCGAUGCUUGUCAGAGCAUUUCGACUGGCUGCAUAGCAUACUUUGGGAAUGCUCCAGUAGCUGGCUUAUCAGUGCGAUGAUAAUUGAUGCCAUAAUGGAAACUCUGCUGCAGCCUUCUGAGAUCCUGAAGCGUCAUCGGAAGCAACCACGUCCUGGCUGUUCUCUGCCUUGCUCCGUGGC